Molecule: ribosomal RNA, 464 nt
Filed under: Vreelandella stevensii
Lineage: Bacteria; Pseudomonadati; Pseudomonadota; Gammaproteobacteria; Oceanospirillales; Halomonadaceae
Description: partial 16S ribosomal RNA
Rfam family: Bacterial small subunit ribosomal RNA
Source: RNAcentral
CCUACGGGGGGCUGCAGUGGGGAAUAUUGGACAAUGGGGCAACCCUGAUCCAGCCAUGCCGCGUGUGUGAAGAAGGCCCUCGGGUUGUAAAGCACUUUCAGUGAGGAAGAACGCCUGGUGGUUAAUACCCAUCAGGAAAGACAUCACUCACAGAAGAAGCACCGGCUAACUCCGUGCCAGCAGCCGCGGUAAUACGGAGGGUGCGAGCGUUAAUCGGAAUUACUGGGCGUAAAGCGCGCGUAGGUGGCUUGAUAAGCCGGUUGUGAAAGCCCCGGGCUCAACCUGGGAACGGCAUCCGGAACUGUCAAGCUAGAGUGCAGGAGAGGAAGGUAGAAUUCCCGGUGUAGCGGUGAAAUGCGUAGAGAUCGGGAGGAAUACCAGUGGCGAAGGCGGCCUUCUGGACUGACACUGACACUGAGGUGCGAAAGCGUGGGUAGCAAACAGGAUUAGAUACCCUAGUAGUC